RNAcentral lists this long non-coding RNA (7169 nucleotides) under Sus scrofa (pig). Its description in RNAcentral is "lncRNA (ENSSSCG00000056292.1)". The record is from RNAcentral. Lineage: Eukaryota; Metazoa; Chordata; Mammalia; Artiodactyla; Suidae.
CCAGUUGGAUUUUGGUGGAAACCAAGACAUUUUGGAGUUUAUUAGCAAAGUCUAUAUGAGAAAGAUGAUUCAUAUUUAGUAAUAAAGACUAUACAGAGAAAUUGUCAUUGUCACAUAAGCUCUUCCUAGUUGGCAGCACCCUAGCAGGGGUGCACACCUCCAUUUGGUCCCAGCUCUGCUGAGCAGGCAGCCACAGUAGGCCCCCAGCCUGUGAAGGGGAUGUGCCCUGGGGGACCAGCGCUCCCAGGUUCUAGCAUCAGGCCUUACCUAUGCUUCUCUGAGUCUGUUCCUUCCUCAUUCUGACUUCCUGCUCUGCCUUUCACUGGUAGGAAAAGGCAUCCAACUCGGAACUGAGUCAGAGUGCUCAGCAGCUGGGUCUUGCUUUUAGUUUUGUGCAAAAAUCAGUGGAAUCAAGGUCAAGAGCUCAGCAUGUGAAUUUUUUUUUUUUUUUCUGGGGAGCAAGUGGGCCUGGGUUUGAAUAUGCACGGUGCUUAGAAUCUGUGUGAUUUCAGGCAAGUUUCUCAAUUCUGUUUCCAUGUUGCCUCAUCUGUAGAAUGGUGGGAGCCAUACGGUUUUCUCACAGGGUUCUCACAUGAGUUAAAUAAGUCAGUGGGUGUGAAGUGUUGGAACAAAGCCCGCUGAGUUCAGCUCUCAGUGGUGCAACAGUGCUUGUAGAGGAGCCCUGGAGGGGGAAGGAGCCCUGGAGGGGGAAGGGGCCCUGGCUCACCUGAGGACAAUCUUGAGUGCAAGGCAGGAGCCCGGCUUGUUUCAACACCUGGGCUGGGCCUGGAUGAGGGUCUUUAUUUCUGUGCUCAAGGUUAUUUCGAGGGGAUUUGGAAUGAAGUUAAUCCCUCCUUUCUAGGUGCUGUAGGGGAAAUGGGUCCCUCUUCUGUGGUUACUAAAGUUGAGGGCAUUGGUGUGGACCCAGUGUCCCAUAUAAACCUGUCGCAAAACAAAAUGGCAUGAGAUUGAAUCAGAGAAGUGGCCUGUGGGGGCACUUAGAGGUGACUCCUAAGGACUAGGAAGCAUCCAUUCUAAGGCAGUUCACUGAAGAGCAACAAGGGAUUACUGGAUACAAACGCAUGUACAGGGAGAUAGGCUUGUCAAGCUUGAAAGACCAAGACCAUGGUUAAAGGAGUAAGAAGUGAAAAUUCAGGCGACUAUAAAUCUUUGAGUCAUUUUGUGCUUCUUGAAGGCAUUACUUUCAUCAAUACAAAGGCUUUACAUUAGUGUUUCAAACAGGUUUUGCAGAGCAGAAAACUUAAAAGUAAGAUUACCUUGGAGAAAAGCAGUACCCUGGAACCCGCGGGGCCACCAAUCGCUCUGCAGCUCACUGGUCAGAACAAGCUUGGCUAGGAUGAAUUAGCCCAGAAUGGAUGAGCCUCUGCAGGACCUUGGGGCUGAGUGUCCCCAGAGGAAGCCAGCCCGGGGUUCAGCAAAAGGACUUGGAAGGGGGCGAAGGGAAGGGAAAGCAUUUGAGGUGAGCCUUUGGUGAAAUAUAUUCUAGAGUAGGAGAAAGGUCCCCAUCAGUUCCGUCCUGGGUAAGCACAAGUCUCUUGGUCCCUCACUCCUGCCCAGUCUCUUCCCUGGGAACCUCUCACUGAGAAGAUGACCUCCUCUGAAGUGUUCUUUAUCGAGAGUUGACUCAAAGCCAUUGAUGGUAUUGUCAGCUUCCGAAUAUCUUAGAGAGCACGUUGUCCAGUGGUUGCUACUUUCCCCCCCACCCCAGGAGAGUCGCACAAUUUAGGAAAAUUGAUAAGGCCUCCUGCAUAUUUUGCCUUCCUAUUAGGGUGGUACCAACUAAUCAUGUCUGUCCAAAAAUCUUAGCCUAAAAAGCUUUUGUCUCAUCCAACCCUCUUAUUACAGAAGAAAAAAACUGAGUUCCAGAGACAGAGAGCACUUUACCUGCAGGUCUUCAGCUCAGCCUGUAAGUAGCAGAGAUGAGACAGGGACUCAUGACCUUAUCCAGGCUCAAGGAGGGUUUUGAUUUUAGUGUCAUUUCUCACAUACAAACCACAGCAGUGUGCUCUGAUUUUCUAAGUUGUUUAUAUGCUGUAAUUGCCUCUGUAUUCUCUUUCCUUUAUCUGUUUAGAUAAGCACCAAAGAUUAUGGGUCUCAUUCUGUACAAGCUAACAUCACUUGGUAUACUGUUAGCCUAGAAGGGCAAUGGAAGUGUCCAGCUCCAUUUUAAGUUCUUGAUAUUUCCAAAUGUCUUCAGUGAUGAGCAUUUUUUGAAGACAAAAGCUUAAAAUAGGACAGAGUAUCUUUCUUUCCAUCAGGAAAAUGCCAACAGCUUUCAAAAUCUUUGUUAGCCUUUCUGAUAUUUCCCAGAGAACCUUGCAAGUUAUUCGCAGUGGUUCGGAAACAAUGAAGGACGUUACACACCUUGUGGUACCAUGUUUCCUAAAAUGCGUUAAACUUAUCAGUGGAAUAUGAGAUGAUAUUAAAGAGUAUGGUGAUCAGACCUUUUAUUUUAGUAGUAGGUAUAAAUAGGUAUUUAUUUUAAUGCAUGUAAUAAAAUAUUAUAAUAAAAAUAUAAUUAGUACAAAUAGUAACAUUUUUAUUGCUUCGAAUGGGAUUAAAUAUAAAAGGAAGUUGAUUUAAAGAAAAAUGUUAAAUAAUAACAUGUCAGUAUAAGUGGUACCCAAAUUUGGCAAAAAUUUAAACAAUGAUACCCAAUAUUACAUACACAUAACUACAGUGGAAAUACUCAUUGAGGCCACAAGUAACGUGUAAUUUGAACAGUCAUAGCAGCCCACAAAACUUGAAAGACAACAGCAAUGGAACCCACAGUUAAUUUAUAACUGUACAUGAGUUUUUAUUCCCAUGAAUGGGGGAGAACUUAAUCUUGGCCCUUUCACAAAAAGUAACUUUGAUCCAGCAGUUUUCCUAUGUGGAUUCAAGAUUCUUUCCUCAGUCCCAGGAUGGUACCCAGCUGUGGCCCUCAUCCUGUUGGCUUCCUCUGUAGACUCCCCUUUGGUGAUUGACAAGAGUUUGGAGGAGCGGGGGCGGGCUUCCCCUGGGCUUCAGAUGUUUCUCUGUCAGGGCCAUCUCUACACUGCUUAGUCAGCCUUGUCUGGUGCAGGUGGCAUCACUCUAGCUUAUGAUGCAGAUCAUCUGUGGUGUGCACCUGCACUUCCUAGGCAUGCCUCUGUUUCCCCUUCGACCUCCAUGUGUGUACACACACACACAUAACCUCACCUCCACUCACUCUCCACACAUUUCCUCCUUAUCCCUUUCCUUCUUGCUUUAGAGCUCUUCUUUUUUCUAUCCUGUCUCCCUACAUGACCUUAUCCAGGCUCAAGGAGAUUAAGGAUGAACAGGACAAAAAUGGUACCUUCCCUCAUUCCUCUGGGGUAGAAAUUUACAAGGCAAGAUAAUUGACAAGUUAAUAUAAAAUAAUAAAAAUUACGGUAUGUUUUUUUAAAAUAAAGGAAGGAGGCUGAGAUAUAAGUAAUGCUGCAGUGACUAUCUCUUGCUCAAAAUUUUAUUCUUCAGAGGCUUAAAAGUGGAGUUGUCAGGGAAAAGGUCAUCAUUUUCCAGCUUCUGGAUACAUAUUUUCAAGGUCUUUUAGGUGGAGAUAAUAAUUCAGAGAGGUUUGGGGUGCUUGGUGAGGGGGGCGUGUUCCUGAUAGUUCCUUCAUUAAUUGAUGAAGGAAAUAUUUAUUAAAAAAAUUGUGUAGGAGUUCCAUUGUGGUUCAGUGGUCAACAAACCUGACUAGUGUCCAAGAGGAUGCAGGUUUGAUCCUUGGCCUCGCUCAGUGGGUUAAGGAUCCAGUGUUGCCAUGAGCUAUGGUGUACGUUGCACGUUGCUGUGGCUGUGGCAUAGCCCAGCAGCUACAGCUCUGAUUGGACCCCUAGCAUGGGAACUUCCAUGUGCCAUGGAUGCAGCCCUAAAAAGACAAAAUACAACAACAACAAAAAUUGUGUAGCAGAGUUCCCUGGUUGUGCAGCAGGUUAAGAAUCUGUUGUUGUCACUGCUGUGGCUUGGGUCAUUGCUGUGGCAUGUGGUUCAAUCCCUGGCCCAGGAACUUCUACAUGCUGUGUGCCCCCCCCAAAAAAAUUAUUUAUCAGUCAGAGUCCAAUCAGUAGACAGUAGCCACAUAAUUAUUUAAACAGGGAAAAUUUAAUGUAUCAGUAUUUUAUCUAUAAGGAGUAAGAGAGAGCUAUAAAGAACACAGGAAUAACAGAUAAAAGGAGCAGUCACUAUCUCUAGGGCUGUGGCAGAGAGCCAGGGAAGGAACAAAUCUUUAAGAGGUCUUCCCAGGAGGGCGGAAAUCCAGAUCUAAUUCUAGAGGGUAUGACUGCCCCACAGGGUAGUGAAUUUUCCUCAGGUGCUUGAUUUGUGGGGUUCACUGGGAACCUACCCCAUGGAGUGCCAGUGGAGGUUGUCCCCAGGGGUGCACCUGGUAUAGAACUCCUUGGGGAGCUGUUUGUGAGGCUGAUGCUGCUGAAACUCCUGGGGGUGGGAGUGAGUUUCAUGUUAGUGCCUCCAGUGUCCCUGCAAUGCCAGCUGCUGCCCCAGUGGAGCAAAAGGGGAGGAUUACACUGGAACCAAGAGGAGAAGCCCCUCCCUCCUCUAGGGGUCCCCCGUCUCCCUGCACCCUCCAGCAACAAAGUUUAAUAAUGUGCCAGUUGACCAGGAAAGUCUGUUCUGGCUUCCCAGGAGGCCAAGAAAGGGUGGACUGGGAACUGAGAGGCAAAGGUACCAACUUCUGUUCUUUGCUUGAAGAUCACUUCUGGGGUGUUAAUUCACCAGGACGUUUGGCCAUGUCCUGUAAAAGCCAGUCAUAUUCUUGUAUAUAGAAAAGGCCCUCAAUUCAUUGGCCUGUGAGAGGAAGCUCUCAGUUUGCACUGAAUGGUGGGUGCCCCAGGGGCAGUGGGUGGAGCAGGUGCUCAUCACACAGACUAUGUGUUUACUCCUCUAGUUCCUGUAUUGUUUGCACCCCUACUCUAGAAUGUAGGUUUUACGAGGGCAGGGGUUUGGUCUGGUGUAUAGACGGCAGCCAGAACAAUGUGAGGCACAUAGUAUGGACUCAGUUCAUUUUUGGUGAAUUAAUGAAAGGAUUUCCUGUGAUUCUCAGGGAAAGCAUGUGAGCAUUAAUGGCCUUGGUGUGCCUGGAGUUAGUCCGUGGGUUUCAGAGGUCUCCUUCUCUCUUCUUGAGCUGGUAAAUAUACACAUCCAGAGCAGCCCACAUGUUCCUGAUCCAAAUGAUUAUGUGCAGGACAGCUUAAAAAGGGUAAGGCAGGAGUUCCCAUUGUGGCUCAGGGGUUAAUGAACCUGAUUAGCAUCCAUGAGGAUGUGAGUUUGAUCCCUGGCCUCACUCAGUGGGUUAGGGAUCCAGUGUUGCUAUGAGCUGUGGUGUAGGUCGCAGAUGCGGCUUGGAUCCUGUAUUACUGUGGCUCUGGUGUAGGCCAGUAGCUAUAGCUCUGAUUUGACCCCUAGCCUGGGAACCUCCAUAUGCUGGGGGUGUGGCCCUGAAAAACAAAAAAAAAGAUGGGUAAGGCAGAACACAGUUGCUAAUACUUCUGGACAACUGACACAAGACUUGAGAUUGCUCAUUUUUCUAGGGUAAUUGCAAACCAUAGCAGCUGCACUGGCUCCAGCUUGCUGGGCAUAUUUCAUUGCAAAUGGGAGAUGCCUAUGAUUGUAGCUGACAGAGGGAGGCAAAGCCAAUGCGGACAGCUUUCCUUAGGGGAAUUAAACUCAUCUCUUCUCACUACAAAGUUCUUAACUCCUUAGCUGUGAAGGUUUAGGAAUCUUUACCCAUUAACACCUCAAGUUGCCCUCAACAUAUUCAAUUUGUACUCUAGUUUCAGUGCCAGGGGGACAUUUUCACUCCAGGUGUUUUAUUUACUGUUUUGAGCAGGGUUCUAUAUUUCAGGAUAAUUUAUUUUCCUUUAGGAUGAAAGUCGCUAUAUUUUGUCUAACAUCAAAUCAUCUGAGACUGUAGUAUAAAGGGCCACAUAUUUAUCUUACCCGGUAUUUUUAUACAUCCAGAAUUUUUUUUUUUUUUUUUUUUUAAAUGGGAUUCAGGGGGCAGAACCAAAGUCAGGAUUUGGACUCUGACAUCUAACUAGAGAUCCAGGUAACUCAAGUAGAGACAAGUACAAAUUCUAAGUUAAGUUGGUGAUAAAUUUAGAGAGCAGCGUAGAAUUUAUCCCUGAGCCUACAGCUGGGGCUUUUAAAAUGAUUGAGGGUAUGAAUACAUGAUUCAAAACUAAUCUCAGGAACCAACAUAGAGUUCAGAAGCUUUAUCAAUGCUAGCUAGAUCAGUGGGGUUUGAGAUGAAAUAUUAUAAAUCAACUGUGAGAAGGUGUUAAUCCAAACACUGCCUCCAGCUUGGAAGGUUAUGCGUGAGGUGGGAGAUAGUGGAGGGAAGAGGCUGCUGGAAGAAAAGACACUUUUUUUUUUUUCAGUGAGGGCGUGCAUUGCCUCAAGCUUAGGACCCUGGUGCUCAGGAAUCAAAUCUUGCAUUCUGUAGUCCACUCUGCAGUACUGAAGCAUUUUCACUUCACCUUUUCAGAUUUAGAUACCAGGGCAUAUGGGGAAAUAGGGAUAUGAUGUUCUUGGGGCCUGGCUGAAGGGCUGAAUCUGUCAGUGUGAUGUUUUGGGAAGGCAGCUGGUGUGAUGGCUGAGAGGUUUUCUCAUUCAUAGUACAGGAAUGACAACAGUACCAAAUCACAAGUUUGUUGGAAAGAUUAAAUGAAAUAUUCCUUGUCAAGUGUGUAACACUUAGCAUACAGUCAAUAUUAAAACAUGUUAGAUAUGAUUAUUACUUUCAUUAUUAAUGAAUGUGCAUCAUGUGAUGAUGUAUUAAGUUCCCCAAAGCUUCUUUUUUAAAAAAAUUUAACUGUUCAGUUCAGAAGCCCCUGGGAUUCCUAGAAUAUUUUAAGAGCAUUGAUCAUGGACUCUGUUAACAAGUCCACUGGGUUAGGGUCCAACUGCAUCCUUGCUUAAGAAGAUGAACGUUUUAGAUAACACAUCAGAUUCAAUUUUUAAGGAAUUGGAAGUAAAUAUUCUUGAAAAACAUAUUCUUGGGCAUAUAGUGAGAGCAAAACCACAAAUUAUGUUAACUUCCAAUACCAGUAAAGAUUCAGUUCAGUUCAGUUGUGGGUAAUAGAAAAAUGUAAAAUAAUUGGAAUUCCCUGGUGGCCUACUGGUUAAAG